This 1849-nucleotide ribosomal RNA is filed under the name Salmonella enterica subsp. enterica serovar Typhimurium. RNAcentral describes it as "partial 23S ribosomal RNA". It matches the Rfam family "Bacterial large subunit ribosomal RNA", at positions 86 to 1874 of the family's 2925-position model. The record is from RNAcentral. Lineage: Bacteria; Pseudomonadati; Pseudomonadota; Gammaproteobacteria; Enterobacterales; Enterobacteriaceae.
GUGAUAUGAACCGUUAUAACCGGCGAUACCCGAAUGGGGAAACCCAGUGUGAUUCGUCACACUAUCAUUAACUGAAUCCAUAGGUUAAUGAGGCGAACCGGGGGAACUGAAACAUCUAAGUACCCCGAGGAAAAGAAAUCAACCGAGAUUCCCCCAGUAGCGGCGAGCGAACGGGGAGGAGCCCAGAGCCUGAAUCAGCAUGUGUGUUAGUGGAAGCGUCUGGAAAGGCGCGCGAUACAGGGUGACAGCCCCGUACACAAAAGCGCAUGUGCUGUGAGCUCGAUGAGUAGGGCGGGACACGUGGUAUCCUGUCUGAAUAUGGGGGGACCAUCCUCCAAGGCUAAAUACUCCUGACUGACCGAUAGUGAACCAGUACCGUGAGGGAAAGGCGAAAAGAACCCCGGCGAGGGGAGUGAAAAAGAGCCUGAAACCGUGUACGUACAAGCAGUGGGAGCACCCUUCGGGGUGUGACUGCGUACCUUUUGUAUAAUGGGUCAGCGACUUAUAUUCUGUAGCAAGGUUAACCGUAUAGGGGAGCCGGAGGGAAACCGAGUCUUAACCGGGCGUUAAGUUGCAGGGUAUAGACCCGAAACCCGGUGAUCUAGCCAUGGGCAGGUUGAAGGUUGGGUAACACUAACUGGAGGACCGAACCGACUAAUGUUGAAAAAUUAGCGGAUGACCUGUGGCUGGGGGUGAAAGGCCAAUCAAACCGGGAGAUAGCUGGUUCUCCCCGAAAGCUAUUUAGGUAGCGCCUCGUGAAUUCAUCUCCGGGGGUAGAGCACUGUUUCGGCUAGGGGGCCAUCCCGGCUUACCAACCCGAUGCAAACUGCGAAUACCGGAGAAUGUUAUCACGGGAGACACACGGCGGGUGCUAACGUCCGUCGUGAAGAGGGAAACAACCCAGACCGCCAGCUAAGGUCCCAAAGUCAUGGUUAAGUGGGAAACGAUGUGGGAAGGCCCAGACAGCCAGGAUGUUGGCUUAGAAGCAGCCAUCAUUUAAAGAAAGCGUAAUAGCUCACUGGUCGAGUCGGCCUGCGCGGAAGAUGUAACGGGGCUAAACCAUGCACCGAAGCUGCGGCAGCGAACGUAUCACCCAAGACAACUUUACGGAGUUGACGAUUGACGGAGCGAAGCGACGUCAAAGCGUUCAUUAAAGUCGAGUUGGCUUAGGGAUACGUUCGUUGGGUAGGGGAGCGUUCUGUAAGCCUGUGAAGGUGUGUCGUGAGGCAUGCUGGAGGUAUCAGAAGUGCGAAUGCUGACAUAAGUAACGAUAAAGCGGGUGAAAAGCCCGCUCGCCGGAAGACCAAGGGUUCCUGUCCAACGUUAAUCGGGGCAGGGUGAGUCGACCCCUAAGGCGAGGCCGAAAGGCGUAGUCGAUGGGAAACGGGUUAAUAUUCCCGUACUUGGUGUUACUGCGAAGGGGGGACGGAGAAGGCUAUGUUGGCCGGGCGACGGUUGUCCCGGUUUAAGCGUGUAGGUGUGUGUUCCAGGUAAAUCCGGUUCACUUUAACACUGAGGCGUGACGACGAGGCACUACGGUGCUGAAGCAACAAAUGCCCUGCUUCCAGGAAAAGCCUCUAAGCAUCAGGUAACAUCAAAUCGUACCCCAAACCGACACAGGUGGUCAGGUAGAGAAUACCAAGGCGCUUGAGAGAACUCGGGUGAAGGAACUAGGCAAAAUGGUGCCGUAACUUCGGGAGAAGGCACGCUGACACGUAGGUGAAGUGAUUUACUCAUGGAGCUGAAGUCAGUCGAAGAUACCAGCUGGCUGCAACUGUUUAUUAAAAACACAGCACUGUGCAAACACGAAAGUGGACGUAUACGGUGUGACGCCUGCCCGGUGCCGGAA